AACAGUGCUGAGUAAGGGAGAGACAAGGAAAGACGCCUGCAUGAAGACUGAGCUGCUGAAAGAUAUCACCAACAACAAAGAGGAAGGGUUUAAUGCCAUGGCUGCAGAUGAAAGUACUACAGAAAAGCAAGCGGGGGAACCAAGAAUGGCAGUAGAUGGUGAAACCAACGGUUCCUGUGAGCACAGCGAAGCUGGUAGCCACCCAAACCCAGCUAAAAACACUCAGGACAAUACGAAAGUGAGCCAGCAGGACUCUAGUACUAAAUUAAAUAGGAUAGCGGAAAAUGGCAUUUCUGAACGAGAUGGCGAGACUGGGAAGCAAAACCAUAUGAAAGCUAAUGACUUCACACAGACUUCUGUAACAGGGAGCAAUGGAUAUAUUCUAACCAAGCAGAUGGCACAGGAGCAACCUCUAAGGACUACCAGCACCUUUGCUUCUCUCACCGGCCAUGCUGCAAAAACCCUUCCAGGAGGAGCAAGCAAAGGGAGAACUGUGGGCUCCUUUUCUCAGAUGCAAGCCACAAUGCCAACCAAGCUCGGGGAGGGCAGUAAGGACAUGGAUGCUAAAAAAGCCACCGCUGCUAACACUGAAGUCAAGGUCCACAGAGCACGGAAGACAAUGCCUAAACCCACCCCUAGCCUG
RNA transcript from Fulmarus glacialis (Northern fulmar), 643 nucleotides. It is a transcript of the gene named histone-lysine N-methyltransferase EHMT1 pseudogene, with no coding region annotated. The transcript has 2 exons. Lineage: Eukaryota; Metazoa; Chordata; Aves; Procellariiformes; Procellariidae. The record is from RefSeq and is a predicted model, not a curated record.